UACGUAGGGGGCAAGCGUUGUCCGGAAUCAUUGGGCGUAAAGCGCGUGUAGGCGGCCCGGUAAGUCCGCUGUGAAAGUCGGGGGCUCAACCCUCGAAUGCCGGUGGAUACUGUCGGGCUAGAGUGCGGAAGAGGCGAGUGGAAUUCCUGGUGUAGCGGUGAAAUGCGCAGAUAUCAGGAAGAACACCCGUGGCGAAGGCGGCUCUCUGGUACGUGACUGACGCUGAGACGCGAAAGCGUGGGGAGCGAACAGG
RNAcentral lists this ribosomal RNA (253 nucleotides) under uncultured bacterium. Its description in RNAcentral is "partial 16S ribosomal RNA". It matches the Rfam family "Bacterial small subunit ribosomal RNA", at positions 524 to 776 of the family's 1533-position model. The record is from RNAcentral.